UAGGGAAUCUUCGGCAAUGGACGAAAGUCUGACCGAGCAACGCCGCGUGAGUGAAGAAGGUUUUCGGAUCGUAAAACUCUGUUGUUAGAGAAGAACAAGGACGUUAGUAACUGAACGUCCCCUGACGGUAUCUAACCAGAAAGCCACGGCUAACUACGUGCCAGCAGCCGCGGUAAUACGUAGGUGGCAAGCGUUGUCCGGAUUUAUUGGGCGUAAAGCGAGCGCAGGCGGUUUCUUAAGUCUGAUGUGAAAGCCCCCGGCUCAACCGGGGAGGGUCAUUGGAGACUGGGAGACUUGAGUGCAGAAGAGGAGAGUGGAAUUCCAUGUGUAGCGGUGAAAUGCGUAGAUAUAUGGAGGAACACCAGUGGCGAAGGCGGCUCGCUGGUCUGUAACUGACGCUGAGGCUCGAAAGCGUGGGGAGCAAACAGG
Molecule: ribosomal RNA, 429 nt
Filed under: Gemmatimonadota bacterium
Lineage: Bacteria; Pseudomonadati; Gemmatimonadota
Description: Gemmatimonadetes bacterium partial 16S ribosomal RNA
Rfam family: Bacterial small subunit ribosomal RNA
Source: RNAcentral